Molecule: ribosomal RNA, 468 nt
Filed under: uncultured bacterium
Lineage: Bacteria
Description: partial 16S ribosomal RNA
Rfam family: Bacterial small subunit ribosomal RNA
Source: RNAcentral
GACGAACGCUGGCGGCGUGCUUAACACAUGCAAGUCGAACGGAAAGGCCCUGCUUUUGUGGGGUGCUCGAGUGGCGAACGGGUGAGUAACACGUGAGUAACCUGCCCUUGACUUUGGGAUAACUUCAGGAAACUGGGGCUAAUACCGGAUAGGAGCUCCUGCUGCAUGGUGGGGGUUGGAAAGUUUCGGCGGUUGGGGAUGGACUCGCGGCUUAUCAGCUUGUUGGUGGGGUAGUGGCUUACCAAGGCUUUGACGGGUAGCCGGCCUGAGAGGGUGACCGGCCACAUUGGGACUGAGAUACGGACCAGAGUCCUACGGGAGGCAGCAGGGGGGAAUAUUGCACAAUGGGAGGAAGCCUGAUGCAGCAACGCCGCGUGCGGGAUGACGGCCUUCGGGUUGUAAACCGCUUUCGCCUGUGACGAAGCGUGAGUGACGGUAAUGGGUAAAGAAGCACCGGCUAACUACGUG